AAACCGGAGGAAGGUGGGAUGACGUCAAGUCCUCAUGGCCCUUAUAGGUGGGGCUACACACGUCAUACAAUGGCCGGUACAAAGGGUCGCAAACCCGGCGAGGGGGAGCCAAUCCAUCAAAGCCGGUCGUAGUCCGGAUCGCAGUCUGCAACUCGACUGCGUGAAGUCGGAAUCGCUAGUAAUCGUGGAUCAGCAUGUCACGGUGAAUACGUUCCCGGGUCUU
RNAcentral lists this ribosomal RNA (223 nucleotides) under uncultured Hydrogenophaga sp. RNAcentral's name for it is "partial 16S ribosomal RNA". It matches the Rfam family "Bacterial small subunit ribosomal RNA", at positions 1160 to 1382 of the family's 1533-position model. Lineage: Bacteria; Pseudomonadati; Pseudomonadota; Betaproteobacteria; Burkholderiales; Comamonadaceae. The record is from RNAcentral.